Molecule: ribosomal RNA, 241 nt
Filed under: uncultured Actinomycetales bacterium
Lineage: Bacteria; Bacillati; Actinomycetota; Actinomycetes; Actinomycetales
Description: partial 16S ribosomal RNA
Rfam family: Bacterial small subunit ribosomal RNA
Source: RNAcentral
ACUCGAGUGGCGAACGGGUGAGUAACACGUGGGUGAUCUGCCUUGCACUUCGGGAUAAGCCUGGGAAACUGGGUCUAAUACCGGAUAGGACCAUGCUUUAGUGUGUGUGGUGGAAAGUUUUUCGGUGCAAGAUGAGCCCGCGGCCUAUCAGCUUGUUGGUGGGGUAAUGGCCUACCAAGGCUUUGACGGGUAGCCGGCCUGAGAGGGCGACCGGCCACAUUGGGACUGAGAUACGGCCCAG